UACGUAGGUGGCAAGCGUUAUCCGGAUUUAUUGGGUGUAAAGGGCGUGUAGGCGGGAGCGCAAGUCAGAUGUGAAAACUCAGGGCUCAACCCUGAGCCUGCAUUUGAAACUGUGUUUCUUGAGUGCUGGAGAGGCAAUCGGAAUUCCGUGUGUAGCGGUGAAAUGCGUAGAUAUACGGAGGAACACCAGUGGCGAAGGCGGAUUGCUGGACAGUAACUGACGCUGAGGCGCGAAAGCGUGGGGAGCAAAUAGG
RNAcentral lists this ribosomal RNA (253 nucleotides) under uncultured bacterium. RNAcentral's name for it is "partial 16S ribosomal RNA". It matches the Rfam family "Bacterial small subunit ribosomal RNA", at positions 524 to 776 of the family's 1533-position model. The record is from RNAcentral.